AGAACUUCUCAGCCUUGUGGCUGAGUUCAAGUGUAGUAUCUGUUAUUAUUAGUUUCACAUUUGACAUGUCCUCUGCCAAGGUUAAGAUAUUAAAUGGGUCUUGGGGUCAGGGAGAUAGAACAGGAGCCUGUUCUGUUGACUACACUCCUUAAUUUGGUAUUGGAAUGUUUCCAGGAAUGUUGCACGGAGA
This is a small nuclear RNA of Hippopotamus amphibius kiboko, 190 nucleotides long. RefSeq annotates it as U2 spliceosomal RNA. The record is from RefSeq and is a predicted model, not a curated record. The transcript has a single exon. NCBI's taxonomy places the organism in Eukaryota, Metazoa, Chordata, Mammalia, Artiodactyla, Hippopotamidae.